AUUGAACGCUGGCGGCAGGCCAAACACAUGCAAGUCGAACGGUAGCACAGAGAGCUUGCUCUCGGGUGACGAGUGGCGGACGGGUGAGUAAUGUCUGGGAAACUGCCCGAUGGAGGGGGAUAACUACUGGAAACGGUAGCUAAUACCGCAUAACGUCGCAAGACCAAAGUGGGGGACCUUCGGGCCUCACACCAUCGGAUGUGCCCAGAUGGGAUUAGCUAGUAGGUGGGGUAAUGGCUCACCUAGGCGACGAUCCCUAGCUGGUCUGAGAGGAUGACCAGCCACACUGGAACUGAGACACGGUCCAGACUCCUACGGGAGGCAGCAGUGGGGAAUAUUGCACAAUGGGCGCAAGCCUGAUGCAGCCAUGCCGCGUGUAUGAAGAAGGCCUUCGGGUUGUAAAGUACUUUCAGCGGGGAGGAAGGCGGUGGAGUUAAUAACUUCACCGAUUGACGUUACCCGCAGAAGAAGCACCGGCUAACUCCGUGCCAGCCGCCGCUGUAA
RNAcentral lists this ribosomal RNA (504 nucleotides) under uncultured bacterium. RNAcentral describes it as "partial 16S ribosomal RNA". It matches the Rfam family "Bacterial small subunit ribosomal RNA", at positions 30 to 523 of the family's 1533-position model. The record is from RNAcentral.